UACAGAGGUCUCGAGCGUUAGGCGGAAUCACUGGGCUUAAAGCGUGUGUAGGCGGAGUGCUAAGUACCUUGUGAAAUCCCACAGCUCAACUGUGGAACUGCUUGGUAUACUGGUUCUCUUGAGCCAUCUAGGGGCUACCGGAACAAAUGGUGGAGCGGUGAAAUGCGUAGAUAUCAUUUGGAACGCCAAUGGUGAAAACAGGUAGCUGGGGAUGUGCUGACGCUGAGACACGAAAGCCAGGGGAGCAAACGGG
Molecule: ribosomal RNA, 253 nt
Filed under: uncultured bacterium
Lineage: Bacteria
Description: partial 16S ribosomal RNA
Rfam family: Bacterial small subunit ribosomal RNA
Source: RNAcentral